GGGGGACUCUGAGCCUGCAGAGAUGGAUGGGGAAAAAGUCUGUGUUUAUUUAAAAGACUAACUGGGGGCAUGGCUAAAUUUUGCUUUUCUAUUUGGCCAUGCCAUGACUAAGGAAAACAAAGGCUAUUGCAGCUGCUGCUUCAGGAAAAGGCAAUCGCUGCCAUUCACCUAAUUUAAAUUUUAAGAUGUUUAGAUGUUAAAAAUCUGCCAGAGCACAGUUUCUGUACAUUAGAAAUGGCUCAGUAGCUCAGAGCCCGUGAGAAGCUGGCCCUACGUGUUCUCUACUCCACAAUGCUCUUAGAUGACCGGUAAGCUUGGGCGACAACAGUGUUUCCACUGCCCGUUCAAAACUCUCCUUGGCCUGCUUUCCGGAAGCAGAGUACUACAUUGCAUAAUUAACAAUGAAAACUAGCAGCUUAAAUGCCUUUUCUCUGCAGAGGUCAGAUGCUCCCAUUUAUCUACUAAAUACCACUCUAUCCCUCAGCGUCCAGGAGUGAAAGAACCUGGACAAAUAAGUCAAGUUAAUUUCUUAAACGUGCUGCCAGAGUCCUUUCUGCUCUGUUACUUUUACUUUGAGGACACCUAGUGGCAGUUUAUAGGCAGCGUUCUUCAAGGCAAACCGAAAGAAACUUCAGGAUGUAGUAACUGUGGAGAAAGGCUUGCAACCGGACUUGCCGUUAGCCCGAAGACAAAAGAAGUGAGUAGAUUUUCCUUCCUUUUGUUUCUCUACUGCUGUGGAUGGGCCAGCGCCAGAUUCUGGAGCCAAAUUCCCACUCCCGCCUUUCACCGUCAUCAAACAAAAUUCCCGUGGCCUAAUUGUUUCACAAGUGGUUUUUAAUGAGCUCAUUGUUUAUUUGACACCAAUGAGGACCUUUUAAAGACCACAGAAUGGCCACAAUCGGGUCAAUUCAUCAAUUAAUAAACAAACAUUGAUAGUGUGCCGUGGGCCGACAUUUUGAGGGGAUUUACAAAGAUGAGAUGGAUUCUAAGUGAAAGGGAAUUUUUUUCCCUUUACCUCUGGUGAUGAAGUCUCCUUCACAGCUGUGUCCUCAGAGCCAAUGACCUAAUCUCUUUGACUCUCCUUCUCUUCUUCUGUAAAAUGGAGGUGAUUGUGAAGAUUACAUGAAAACCAGGACAACCUGCUUGGUGCCUGGUAUCUGGUAGAUACCGAAUAACCGUUAAGAUACUUCUCUCUCUACUGCCUUCCCCUACCCCAUACCUAGAGUGUGUUCUUUGCUGUAGCUGUCGUCUGGACAGAAGUGCUCACCGCUGCACAGAACUCUGCCAAGGCCACUCUGAGGCAUCCACAUCUGAGUCCUGGGAGCUAAACACACCCACAGCUGUGGUUCUCCCUUGCAAUUCGGAUCUACUGGCUUGCCCUGGAUCCAUCUUACAACCCUGUUCUAUUGAAUCAAGAUCUGGAUGACACAUUGUCUUGGCAGUUGCAAAGCUCCCAGGUCGUCUUCAGGGCCUGAUGACAGAAACGGAUCCUCUUCCAAGACAAAUGCUCAUAUUUACAAAUAUUUUACACACUAUUUUGGAACAUUCUUGACAUGCUUCCUCCGCUGAAGUCCAUAGAUUUCAGAUGUCCUUCUAGUUCCCGGUUGGACAGUGAACACCUGAGCCCUCCACCUGAAGAGCAACAUGGAAAGUUUGGAUUAGAGGAAGGAGCGCUGUUUGUUCCCUGCACAUAUUUUCAGGGUCUAAGCACAGUCAGCACCAUCUGAAGUUUGGUUCAGCAGAAUUGAGGAAAUCUUGGCCUCCACAAAGAAGAAAAGUCCUAAACUGGAAAAGUGUUAAAACUACAGAACUCCAAAACAUACUUAAUCCUGGUGUGAUGCACGAAACAGGACUAAGAAAAGCUGUUCAAUGGAGAGAACUCGCUGAACACUGUUGGAUUCAGUGGCAUGUAAGAUACCCGGGAAGUAGAGAAGACUGGUGGAAGUGAAUCAUUUGGAAUCCUAAAGAGCAGCCAGAUGUCCCUUCUUCAUACAGGGUCCGGAUAAUCUCUGCAGCUUUAACAACUUUUCAAGAGAAAUAAUUUGUGAAGCUCAGUGGUGUUCAAAACAGGAUGCUACAUUUUUGUGGUAGUAUUUUGUAUUUCCUAGAAAGCAGGAAAAACUAAGACUGAAAUCUAUAAUAUCACGAUCUGUAUCAUACAUUCUCUUUUUCUGGAUCUUUUCCCAUUCUGGCAGGAAAGUGAAAUGACACUGAGACAUUCUCAGAAUGUAUGGAAUAGUAAUUUCUUACUAAUUUAAUGGUUGUUCAGUUAGGUUAUGGGGUAGCAAGCUUUUCUUUUGCAUCUUGAAUGUUACUUUACCUGUUGACAUGGCACCAUUCUUAAAGUCAAAGACUCACGUAGGAUUUAUUCAUUUAGUAGUGUAAGGUGGGGUCAAUCAUCAGUCCUUUUCAAAUCUCACUCUCUUUUUCUUCCAUCUGCUCAUUUUCUUAUUCUGAGGUUCCCUUUUUCUUAUUAAUACUACCACUCAUCCUGGUCAACUGUAUUCGAAGUCUGUGGAGCAUUUUGACUGUCCCUACCCUAGAUGAUUUCUCCAUCAAGCAGCGUCUCUUUCCACAGUCUCACAUCUGUCUCCCUCCUUUCCAUUUCGUUUCCUCUAGCCUGAACCGGAGUGUUGUUAGUCUUUCGUCUUUCCUGUCACCAGUACAAGCUACACGCUGUCCUUUAAUGAAUCAUUCUGAAGAUCGAGACUAAUUGUAUCACUCUAUAGCUCAAAAACUUUCAAUAGUGUGAGGUGCUUAACAGGAAGAAGAAACAGAAGGAGAGGAGGAGGUGGAGGAAAAAGAGGAAAAAGAAGCAGGAAGUUGCCAGUGAAACAAAAUAAAAAGCUAAGAAAUUUUACUAUAUAUAAGAAUUGAACAUAAAGUACUGCUGGUAUGUCAAAUCAAUGGAAACUAUAUUUCAUGCAGUAGUAGCGCAUACUUGUUUUAAAAUAUUUAAAUUGAAUUUUUACCUUCCAGCAUACACCAAAAUAACUUUCAGAUUGAUCAGAAUAUUAAAUCUAAAAAAAUUCCUAAAAAACUUGAAAGAUAUCAGAAAUAAAUAUUUAAUGUCAAGAUUAGAAGACUUUUCUAAAUAAAAAAAGCAAAACAAGAAAAAGAUUAAACAUAACAUAAGCAUUAAAAGUCCAGUAAGAACCCAUUCUCAAAAUCCAAAGCAAAUGGCCACCGAGAAAAAAAUAUUUCCAAGAUAUAUGACAUUCAAAGUCUGAAGCCUGAGUGUAUUUAAAAUAUCAGUAUUUCUCACAAAUCAGCAAAGAGCACCCCAAUAGAAAGAAUCUGCAAAGAUUAUGGAGAGAGAAUUCACAAAAGAAUAGAAAUGAUCUAUAUCAUGAAAAGAAAGACAUCAAACUUAUUGGACUUUUUUCUUUUGUAUGUUCUUCCAUUGUUUUAAACUUAUGAAAUCCCUCCCUAUUUCAGGAUUGGCCAGUCAUUCUUUUUCUGGUUUAUGUUUUCAGUUUGCAUUUAAUAUUUUAAUUCACUCAAUUUAUUCGGAGGUAUGCUCUGAGAUAUUAGAGCCAAUUCAAUUGUUAUCUUUCCCUCCUUCCUAGAUUGUAAGCUCUUUGAGGGCAGGAACAAUGUGCUGUUUAUUUCUGUGGACCCUGAAGCAUGUGACAAACGUAUGAUGGACAAGAAUCAACAAGGAGGGGUGAAGAGGGGGGAUCAGAGAAGUUCUGAGAGAGGAGGCAUCUUUUGAGGUUAGUCUUAAAAAGUCUAAAAUAUUUUCAAGAUUUUGUCUUUUUUUUUUUCCCUUUCCUUUUGUGUGUCUCUUUUGGGUUAAUCGUGGCUUAAAGGCAACGUAACAUGACAUAAGAUAAAAGGGUUCUGAAGAAAGGCAAGUGAGGGAGGAUUCAAAUAUUGAUGCCACGAAUCACUUAUGUCACUCUGAGCCUCAAUUCCUCAUCUUUAAAAUAGAUAUACUGAUCACUACUUGCACGGUUGUUAAGGAGAUAAAAUCCCAGGUUUGUAAGGUGAUCAGUGUACUGGUUCUAUUCUCUUUGUACGCCUCAGUUUUUUUGACAUUCUGGGAGGGACACUGUGCAUCUCUUAGCCUCUUUCUCUGUAGUGAAGUAAAACUGUGGUAGUCGGGCCGGCUCUGUGGCCGCUCCGCUGCGGCGGCCCAGGGUUCAGAUCCUGGGCGCGGACAUGGCACUGCUUGUCAGGCCACGUUGAGGCGGCGUCCCACAUCCCACAACUAGAAGGACAUGCAACUAAGAUAUACAACUGUGUACAGAGGGGGUUUGGGGAGAUUAAAAAAAAGCAGAAAAAACCCCCCCAAAAACAAAAAAACUGUGGUAGUAUUUAUGAAAACGUCUUGUAACAUGGGAUUUUUCUCACAGCAUAAAGUACUAUUAAUUAAGUUUUUUGGUACAUAUUUAAGUGUAAAUUGCUUGUUAUGCUUUUGUUAAUGGUAAAUGGAAUGGAAGUGAUGUUUGAGUGAAAAGGUUCAGAGUAGAUAAACAGAGGUAAGACAACAGAACAAGGUUAAGUGUGAAAAACAGAUAACCAAAAACAAUUCUAAUUUGUUCGAGUCACUCAGUAGAAAUGGCUUGGACUGGGGGGUCAGGCAAACAUGAGUUGGAGUCUCGCCCUGCCGUAAACUCUCUGUGGUACCUUUGGCAAGUUACUUGCCCUCAUUGAGACUCGGUUUCUCCACCUAUCAAGCUGGGAUUAAUAACAUUCCCACAGCAGGGGUGUUGUGAAGACCAACGAGAUGAGUAAAUGAAAGCAUAUGGCACACAGUUGACGUUUGAUACAUGCUUCUUUUUUUGCUUCUUUUCUUUUCCCUCAAAGACUAAAUAGCAAGCCUGAUUCACCAUAACACCUCUGGGCAUUUAUGUGUUUAAAAGACAUGAAUAUGUUUUCUUAAGUACCCAACCAACUACCAGCAAGUGCCUUAGGCCUCAGGGAGAAUAGAUCUCACUUUUACAAAUGCGUUCAGACUUGAUCCCCUUGUUUACGCAAGGAUUUUUGGAUCCAUGUAUGUCUCAUGACACAGUCUAAACCUCCAUGCAUACUCAGUUAAUCAUCCAGAUUUGUCUUGCAGGCACACAGCCAUCAUUUUUGCUCUUGUGAAAACUGAGAACAUUGUGUACUUUUUCCUUUGUUUCAGGGGGCUAUCGUUCGUUGUUAUCACUGCCUACUUUUUAAAUUUUGUGAGCUGUAAAAUGUAGUACGAUAUGUUCCUGAGUCUUUUUUUUCCCACUGAGAGUAUUUAAGUUGAAUGUUUCUUUAAUAGUCUGGGAGGGAUGAUGCUGGUAAUAAAACAAAGCAUCGAAAUUUAAAAAAUAAGCAGUACAUUUAUAGCAAUUAUGUAGGGAUGUUAUUAGUGAAUAAAUACAGUAUUACAGAAUAAUAUAUCUAGGGUGAAAAAAUGCUAAUCACUAUAACCCAG
RNAcentral lists this long non-coding RNA (5413 nucleotides) under Equus asinus (donkey). RNAcentral describes it as "lncRNA (ENSEASG00005036808.1)". Lineage: Eukaryota; Metazoa; Chordata; Mammalia; Perissodactyla; Equidae. The record is from RNAcentral.